Molecule: ribosomal RNA, 450 nt
Filed under: uncultured bacterium
Lineage: Bacteria
Description: partial 16S ribosomal RNA
Rfam family: Bacterial small subunit ribosomal RNA
Source: RNAcentral
GUGGGGAAUAUUGGACAAUGGGCGAAAGCCUGAUCCAGCCAUGCCGCGUGUGUGAAGAAGGUCUUCGGAUUGUAAAGCACUUUAAGUUGGGAGGAAGGGCAGUAAGUUAAUACCUUGCUGUUUUGACGUUACCAACAGAAUAAGCACCGGCUAACUUCGUGCCAGCAGCCGCGGUAAUACGGAGGGUGCAAGCGUUAUCCGGAUUUAUUGGGUUUAAAGGGUCCGUAGGCGGAUCGUUAAGUCAGUGGUGAAAUCCUACCGCUCAACGGUAGAACUGCCAUUGAUACUGGCGAUAUUGAGUAUGUAUGAAGUUGGCGGAAUGUGUGGUGUAGCGGUGAAAUGCUUAGAUAUCACACAGAACACCGAUUGCGAAGGCAGCUGACUAAUACACAACUGACGCUGAGGGACGAAAGUGUGGGGAUCAAACAGGAUUAGAAACCCGUGUAGUCC